RNAcentral lists this ribosomal RNA (1138 nucleotides) under uncultured bacterium. RNAcentral's name for it is "bacterial SSU rRNA". It matches the Rfam family "Bacterial small subunit ribosomal RNA", at positions 353 to 1482 of the family's 1533-position model. The record is from RNAcentral.
AGUGGGGAAUUUUGGACAAUGGGGGCAACCCUGAUCCAGCCAUUCCGCGUGAGUGAAGAAGGCCUUCGGGUUGUAAAGCUCUUUCGGCAGGAACGAAACGGCGGGCUCUAACAUAGCCUGUCAAUGACGGUACCUGAAGAAGAAGCACCGGCUAACUACGUGCCAGCAGCCGCGGUAAUACGUAGGGUGCGAGCGUUAAUCGGAAUUACUGGGCGUAAAGCGUGCGCAGGCGGCUUUGUAAGACAGGUGUGAAAUCCCCGGGCUUAACCUGGGAACUGCGCUUGUGACUGCAAGGCUCGAGUGCGGCAGAGGGGGGUGGAAUUCCACGUGUAGCAGUGAAAUGCGUAGAGAUGUGGAGGAACACCGAUGGCGAAGGCAGCCCCCUGGGUCGACACUGACGCUCAUGCACGAAAGCGUGGGUAGCAAACAGGAUUAGAUACCCUGGUAGUCCACGCCCUAAACGAUGCCAACUAGGUGUUGGGGAAGGAGACUUCCUUAGUACCGUAGCUAACGCGUGAAGUUGGCCGCCUGGGGAGUACGGUCGCAAGAUUAAAACUCAAAGGAAUUGACGGGGACCCGCACAAGCGGUGGAUGAUGUGGAUUAAUUCGAUGCAACGCGAAAAACCUUACCUACCCUUGACAUGCCAGGAAUCCUGCUGAGAGGCGGGAGUGCUCGAAAGAGAGCCUGGACACAGGUGCUGCAUGGCUGUCGUCAGCUCGUGUCGUGAGAUGUUGGGUUAAGUCCCGCAACGAGCGCAACCCUUGUCAAUAGUUGCCAUCAUUCAGUUGGGCACUCUAUUGAGACUGCCGGUGACAAACCGGAGGAAGGUGGGGAUGACGUCAAGUCCUCAUGGCCCUUAUGGGUAGGGCUUCACACGUCAUACAAUGGUCGGUACAGAGGGUUGCCAAGCCGCGAGGUGGAGCCAAUCCCAGAAAGCCGAUCGUAGUCCGGAUCGGAGUCUGCAACUCGACUCCGUGAAGUCGGAAUCGCUAGUAAUCGUGGAUCAGCAUGCCACGGUGAAUACGUUCCCGGGUCUUGUACACACCGCCCGUCACACCAUGGGAGUGGGUUUCACCAGAAGUAGGUAGCCUAACCGCAAGGAGGGCGCUUACCACGGUGGGAUUCAUGACUGGGGUG